RNAcentral lists this ribosomal RNA (468 nucleotides) under uncultured bacterium. RNAcentral describes it as "partial 16S ribosomal RNA". It matches the Rfam family "Bacterial small subunit ribosomal RNA", at positions 28 to 507 of the family's 1533-position model. The record is from RNAcentral.
GACGAACGCUGGCGGCGUGCCUAACACAUGCAAGUCGAACGGAAAGGCCCUGCUUUUGUGGGGUGCUCGAGUGGCGAACGGGUGAGUAUCACGUGAGUAACCUGCCCUUGACUUUGGGAUAACUUCAGGAAACUGGGGCUAAUAUCGGAUAGGAGCUCCUGCUGCAUGGUGGGGGUUGGAAAGUUUCGGCGGUUGGGGAUGGACUCGCGGCUUAUCAGCUUGUUGGUGGGGUGGUGGCUUACCAAGGCACUGACGGGUAGCCGGCCUGAGAGGGUGACCGGCCACAUUGGGACUGAGAUAGGGCCCAGAGUGCAACGGGAGGCAGCGGUGGAAAGCAUUGCGCAAUAGGCGGAAGCCUGAUGCAGCGACGCCGGGUGCGGAAUGACGGCCUUCAGGUUGUAAACCGCUUUCGCCUGUGACGAAGCGUGAGUGACGGUAAUGAGUAAAGAAGCACCGGCUAACUACGUG